RNAcentral lists this ribosomal RNA (293 nucleotides) under uncultured bacterium. Its description in RNAcentral is "partial 16S ribosomal RNA". It matches the Rfam family "Bacterial small subunit ribosomal RNA", at positions 505 to 796 of the family's 1533-position model. The record is from RNAcentral.
GUGCCAGCAGCCGCGGUAAGACGAACCGUGCGAACGUUAUUCGGAAUCACUGGGCUUAAAGCGCGUGUAGGCGGGUCGGCGCGUCGGACGCUGAAAUCCCCCGGCUCAACCGGGGAAGGGGCGCCGAUACGGCCGGCCUGGAGGGACGUAGGGGGGGCUGGAACUUCCGGUGGAGCGGUGAAAUGCGUUGAGAUCGGAAGGAACGCCCGUGGCGAAAGCGAGCCCCUGGACGUUUACUGACGCUGAGACGCGAAAGCCAGGGGAGCGAACGGGAUUAGAAACCCUGGUAGUCC